UACGGAGGGGGCUAGCGUUGUUCGGAAUUACUGGGCGUAAAGCGCGCGUAGGCGGACCUGCAAGUCGGGGGUGAAAGCCCGAGGCUCAACCUCGGAACUGCCUUCGAUACUGCGGGUCUCGAGUCCGGGAGAGGUGAGUGGAAUUCCUAGUGUAGAGGUGAAAUUCGUAGAUAUUAGGAAGAACACCAGUGGCGAAGGCGGCUCACUGGCCCGGUACUGACGCUGAGGCGCGAAGGCCAGGGGAGCAAACGGG
This 253-nucleotide ribosomal RNA is filed under the name uncultured bacterium. RNAcentral's name for it is "partial 16S ribosomal RNA". It matches the Rfam family "Bacterial small subunit ribosomal RNA", at positions 524 to 776 of the family's 1533-position model. The record is from RNAcentral.